CCACUCAGGAUCAGCUUGGAACAGCCCUCUAGAAUUUAAAUUUUUUUCUCUAAGAAAAUUUAACCUGCUAAAUCUGAACGAAGCCUGGAUCGCGAUCAACACUUGAUCUCUUUUUUUGAUCUUCUUCUUUUCCUCUUUUUUAAACUUUCUCCUUUGUUAUAUGCUACUACCAGCAGGUGGAAACCAACAAACAAGAGAGCCCACAACAGCCCUUGGCAUGAAGAAGAGGGGACGCCCAAGAUGGGGCGUAUGGGACGCCCAAGGGAGGAGAAGAGAGG
RNAcentral lists this long non-coding RNA (278 nucleotides) under Elaeis guineensis (African oil palm). Its description in RNAcentral is "long non-coding RNA (EGUI_LNC034255)". The record is from RNAcentral. Lineage: Eukaryota; Viridiplantae; Streptophyta; Magnoliopsida; Arecales; Arecaceae.